GCCAGAGUGUGAGUCUGUCACUGUGUUCGAACUCAGCAUCCUCUCAUUUAAUUCCCAACAAUACAAGGUGGGCGACGACAUCUCCAUUUGCCAGGUGAAUAAAGCAGCCUUUUGAGGAUUUAAGCCUAAUUGUAAAGUUACAUAUCUAGUAAAUAGAAUCUCAAUUCAAAUCCAGGUGUUCACCACCUUGCUUCUCUACUUCCAGCUCUUGGGGCAUCCCUCUGCCACCUGCUCUUUCCCAAUACCACAGGAGAACAAAGGUCCCGAGUCCAGGGCUCUCCUGCAAAGUCAGCUGUUGGCUCUGAGGACAUUGAGGGGAGCUGGUGCCAGAAAGAAGUUGAAAAUGUCACUCUCUCUGCCUUGUGGAAUUGGGACAAGUAUUGUUCUGGGAAGAAGUGAGAAAAAGGUGGAUUGAAAGCUCUUCAGAGCCUAGCACAAUGUGAACACAGCAGGCUUUUGCUCAUGUCUAAGAAUUAUGAUGUUUUAUUUUCAGGAAUAGAACUUAAUCAAUUUCAAGCCAGGAAAAAAAUUUUACCAAGAAAAUCACUAACUCAGGAUGCUUUUAUACUUUAUUCACUUAAAACAAUGAUAAAUAGUUCACUGUGUUUCAUGUCUUUAUAGCAAUCCGAUUUUUUUAAACUACUUUUUUGUUUUACCAACCUGUCUGAAAAGCUGGUGUGUAAUUUUCUGCUAUUUGUAAUUGGUUUACAUUUUUGACACAAACUUUUAUGUACAUAUAUUUGAUUGUUUUAUGUACAUAUAUUUGAUUGUUAAAUAUGAACUUACAUGAAUUGAGCUAAUUCUACUUGACUAUAAUAUUUACUGGAGCCUCAUGGAUUAAAAAGAAAUAUUUUGCAAAUUCAUAUUAAAAAUUCAUUUUUCAGAAAUAUAACCUCUAAAAAGCCAUAUUUGAUGAUAGAUAUGAUGUUCUGGAAAAGGAAAAAGAAUGCAUGUAGAAAUGAAUCAGAAU
This 970-nucleotide long non-coding RNA is filed under the name Canis lupus familiaris (dog). Its description in RNAcentral is "lncRNA (ENSCAFG00845010420.1)". Lineage: Eukaryota; Metazoa; Chordata; Mammalia; Carnivora; Canidae. The record is from RNAcentral.